This is a long non-coding RNA of Daphnia magna, 398 nucleotides long. RefSeq lists it as uncharacterized. The record is from RefSeq and is a predicted model, not a curated record. The transcript is spliced from 2 exons. NCBI's taxonomy places the organism in Eukaryota, Metazoa, Arthropoda, Branchiopoda, Diplostraca, Daphniidae.
GGCUAGGAAAACAUCAACCGCCAUGAUAAAAGAAAGAAAAAAAAACAACAUAUCCCCCUCUCUUUCUCUUUCUGCAGUUCACUACGCUUACUCUGCGCAAAGUGAAGGUGGACAAAUACCUUGCUUGUUCCUUAUCUUAGCUCCCACUACUUUCUUUCGUCUUGGACAGGGUUUCGUCCGGGUUUCGUCAUUGCUAACGGGAAAAACAUGGCUUACGUUGAGAGAAUCGGUAAAAAAGGCAAAGCUUCCCUUGGAACUCGUUUGUCGCGCCAGUAUCUUCCGGUAGUAAGCCGGGUUGGAGGUAAUCGCGGUCCGCCCCUAAGCCCUAACUCAAGGGUGCUCGUAAAGGUCCGAUUUUCGUCCAAUUUUUCUGAAAAAUAAAUUGAUAUGUAGCUGAA